AGCUUUUCAGUAGUUUACUACAGAAAAUGACUGAGCGGCGAACGGGUGAGUAACGCGUGAGCAACCUACCUUAGUUACUGGGAUAGCCCGAGGAAACUCGGAUUAAUACCGGAUAUUCUUAUUUAAUCACAUGAUUUUUUAAGGAAAGGUCAGCCGAACUAAGAUGGGCUCGCGUUCUAUCAGCUAGUUGGUAGGGUAAUGGCCUACCAAGGCUACGACGGAUAGCUGGUCUGAGAGGACGAUCAGCCACACUGGGACUGAGACACGGCCCAGACUCCUACGGGAGGCUGCAGCAGGGAAUAUUGCGCAAUGAGCGAAAGCUUGACGCAGCGACACCGCGUGUGGGAUGACGGAUCUAGGUUUGUAAACCACUUUCAGGAGGGAAGAAAAUGACGGUACCUCCACAAGAAGCCCCGGCCAACUACGUGCCAGCAGCCGCGGUAAUACGUAGGGGGCGAGCGUUGUCCGGAUUUAUUGGGCGUAAAGAGCUCGUAGGCGGUUCAACAAGUCGGUCGUGAAAGUUCAGGGCUCAACCCUGAAAUGUCGAUCGAUACUGUUGUGACUAGGAUACGGUAGAGGUGAGUGGAAUUCCGAGUGUAGCGGUGAAAUGCGUAGAUAUUCGGAGGAACACCAAUUGCGAAGGCAGCUCACUGGGCCGCUAUCGACGCUGAGGAGCGAAAGCUAGGGGAGCAAACAGGAUUAGAUACCCUGGUAGUCCUAGCUGUAAACGAUGGAUACUAGACGUAGGAUUGGAUUAACGAUUUCUGUGUCGUAGCUAACGCGUUAAGUAUCCCGCCUGGGGAGUACGGUCGCAAGACUAAAAC
RNAcentral lists this ribosomal RNA (824 nucleotides) under marine metagenome. RNAcentral describes it as "bacterial SSU rRNA". It matches the Rfam family "Bacterial small subunit ribosomal RNA", at positions 65 to 900 of the family's 1533-position model. The record is from RNAcentral.